This is a small nucleolar RNA of Synchiropus splendidus (mandarinfish), 138 nucleotides long. RefSeq annotates it as small nucleolar RNA SNORA79. The transcript has a single exon. The record is from RefSeq and is a predicted model, not a curated record. NCBI's taxonomy places the organism in Eukaryota, Metazoa, Chordata, Actinopteri, Syngnathiformes, Callionymidae.
UGACGUACGUUCCUCUUCCUGUCUGCAGUGGAGCAGGGAGAUUUUUCUUCGUCACAGAGAAAUUGGGUUUUUUUCACCCAGAAAGUUUCUGGCUUCUGCCAAAGUUCAAACUUGCUGGUUUUGCAAAACCCGACACAC